This 794-nucleotide ribosomal RNA is filed under the name Diadumene lineata. RNAcentral describes it as "partial small subunit ribosomal RNA". It matches the Rfam family "Bacterial small subunit ribosomal RNA", at positions 455 to 1497 of the family's 1533-position model. The record is from RNAcentral. Lineage: Eukaryota; Metazoa; Cnidaria; Anthozoa; Actiniaria; Diadumenidae.
CACGAAAGUAUGACACAGAGAGGACACAUUUAUUUGAGCCCGUCAAAUUAAGUGCCAGCCGACGCGGUUAGACUUAAGGGCUGGUCUUUAUAAGUAAAAAGGCGUAAAGGAUGUGUAGGCCAAGAAAUUAUCAAAGAAGGUAAAUGGAAUUUUUCUGGAGCGGUAGAAUGUGAGGAUAGAAAAUAGAACACCUAAGGUUAAAACUAUUUACCACAAAAUAGGCUGAAACAUGAAAGUGUGGGGAGCAAACAGGAUUAGAGACCCUGGUAGUCCACACUGUGAACUCUGAAGAUGAUGCUUAGCAGACCCGAAAGGUAAAAUCUUCCGCCUGAGUAGUACGAUCGCAAGAUUAAAAUUCAAAAACUUUGGCUGUUCACUAUUUCGAUUAGAGGAGCGUGUAGUUUAAUUCGAUGGUCCGCGUGUUACCUUACCUCAGCUUGAAUCUAUGACCGGUAUUGCAUGGCCGUCGUAAGUCCGUGUGUUAAGCUAGAAGGGACCCAAUCCGGGCGUUUGCCCGAAGGAAGUCAGGUCUUAUGAUCCGAAUGUUGAGGGAUUAUAUGCGCUACAUUUUCUUAUAUAAUGAGAGACUUGAAAGGUAAGCCUCUAAAGUAAGAGUUCGGAAGGUCGCUGUAAAACGACUGGAAGUUGGAUUUAAUAGUAAUCGGAAAGUAGAGCGUUCCGGUGAAUUGGUACAAGUGUUAGCACAAAUUGCCCGUCACCUUUACCUAGGAUGGUUAUUCGGACGCCUUCGGUGGUUACGAAUGCCUACGAGGUAAAGCAAGUCGUAACAUAGU